AGUGAACGCUGGCGGCAGGCUUAACACAUGCAAGUCGAGCGGGGGAAGGUAGCUUGCUACCGGACCUAGCGGCGGACGGGUGAGUAAUGCUUAGGAAUCUGCCUAUUAGUGGGGGACAACAUCUCGAAAGGGAUGCUAAUACCGCAUACGUCCUACGGGAGAAAGCAGGGGAUCUUCGGACCUUGCGCUAAUAGAUGAGCCUAAGUCGGAUUAGCUAGUUGGUGGGGUAAAGGCCUACCAAGGCGACGAUCUGUAGCGGGUCUGAGAGGAUGAUCCGCCACACUGGGGCUGAGACACGGCCCAGACUCCUACGGGAGGCAGCAGUGGGGAAUAUUGGACAAUGGGGGGAACCCUGAUCCAGCCAUGCCGCGUGUGUGAAGAAGGCCUUAUGGUUGUAAAGCACUUUAAGCGAGGAGGAGGCUACUCUAGUUAAUACCUAGGGAUAGUGGACGUUACUCGCAGAAUAAGCACCGGCUAACUCUGUGCCAGCCGCCGCAGUAA
Molecule: ribosomal RNA, 501 nt
Filed under: uncultured bacterium
Lineage: Bacteria
Description: partial 16S ribosomal RNA
Rfam family: Bacterial small subunit ribosomal RNA
Source: RNAcentral